Molecule: long non-coding RNA, 462 nt
Filed under: Drosophila guanche
Lineage: Eukaryota; Metazoa; Arthropoda; Insecta; Diptera; Drosophilidae
Source: RNAcentral
GUGACACAAAAAGCGAACAGAUAUUUCCAAUCCAUCUUCAAAUUGAAUUCAGACGAGUGUGUUAGUUAGUCAUUGGCACAGUUCACUGACUCCGAACAGAUUUGUUAAGCUGGAAUAGCAUUUAAACGAGAGUUUCCAUUCCUGCGAGUGUGUCUGCAAUAUUUAAACAUCAUUGCAUUUCAAUUGCCAUGCAAAACGAACAGGAUUCCUAUUCCUAGUGCCAGAAUGGUAUUUAAUUGAAUUGUCGCUGGUCAAAGGCAGAAAUAUAAACAGAAAUAUAUACUCUCUCUCUCUCACUUUCUCUUUCUCUCUGUCGUUUGCUGUUUCAAUUGUUCAAAACCGUUUUUCCUGUUUGCUCCAUAAUGCACUUACUUGAAGCGUAAUGCCAUUACGCAUACGCACCGUUUGCUAAUUACACGAAACAUGUUCCACUACGGAGGGUAAACUUCUGCGAAAAGUUGC